Molecule: long non-coding RNA, 1088 nt
Filed under: Equus caballus (horse)
Lineage: Eukaryota; Metazoa; Chordata; Mammalia; Perissodactyla; Equidae
Description: lncRNA (ENSECAG00000051648.1)
Source: RNAcentral
CGUUGCUUGGCUGGACCAGCCGGCGAGCCAGGCUCCCGGGCGCCACCUGGUGGCCUUUCUGGUGGCGAGGGGUGCCCGAGGUGCUCACCUCCAGAAUCCAGCCACCACUUUUUGAGGAAGCCCAGGCCACAUGGAGAGGCCACAUGUAGGAGUUCCAGCCCACAGCACCAGCUAAGAUUUCAGCUGCUCCAGCCAGUGUUGACUGCCAGACAAGUGAGUGAAGAAGAUGAUUCCAGCCUUCAGAAUUCCAACUGAGGACCCAGACAUUAAGAAGCAGAGAUAAUGAGGGACUUGCUGGUCCUAAGUGGCGGGCCUCCGGGCCACCAGGAGUUGACGCUCGGAGCCCACGUCCUUGGUGCAGACGCUGACAGGAACUGAGCUGCUGUCCCGUGCCGCCUUGCCCUUCUGUGGUGCUCGCUGCGCUGCAUGGGGACAGGAAUUAGCUAACCCCAGGAGGGGCCAUCCUUCCAGGGUCAGCAAACCCCCAGGUGUGAAAGCAUCACAAUGCAGAAACGAAAAGACACGGUUGAUACACUGUGCGAGAGCUUUUCAUCCUCCUUUCAUCACAAGCAUAUGCUGGACCAGAAGGAUGAGCAGGAUUUCAUCAGGCUCAGUAGAGAGUGGGAGGGGUUUGCAAGCAGAAGAAAUGAUGCGAGCAGAUGUAAAGAGACGUGAUGUGCGGGCAUGUGCCAUGGCCAUCUGGAAAGGCCCAGAAAGUCAGACGAUCCAGGGCACCACCUCUUCCUUUUUGUACCAACCCCUCUGCAUCUAUCAGAUUCCACAUCAUGGCGGGGACUGAAUCCCACAAUGCCUCUCACACCUGUGCCUUUGCCUCAUCUCUGCGGCUCAGCCCAAGGCCAGGUCACCAUCAGCUCUCAUCCUGAGGAACGCAACACCCUUCUGGCGGUUGCCCCACCUGCCCCCAUCCUUCCUCCCUCCUGCCAUCUUUGUAAGACAUCAAUCUGACCGUGUUUAUUCUCCAUUCAAAACCUUGAGCCGAACUGGAUAUUUGAAGAUAUUAAGGAAUUGUUCAUUAGUUGGGGGGAUGGUGGUAAUGUGGAUUUUUAACAAAUAAAACGUGCUCCUUU